This 21-nucleotide microRNA is filed under the name Asparagus officinalis (garden asparagus). Its description in RNAcentral is "aof-miR12155". The record is from miRBase by way of RNAcentral. Lineage: Eukaryota; Viridiplantae; Streptophyta; Magnoliopsida; Asparagales; Asparagaceae.
UGUGUAUGGACGAGAACCGGC